RNAcentral lists this ribosomal RNA (264 nucleotides) under uncultured bacterium. Its description in RNAcentral is "partial 16S ribosomal RNA". It matches the Rfam family "Bacterial small subunit ribosomal RNA", at positions 90 to 354 of the family's 1533-position model. The record is from RNAcentral.
UUCGAGUGGCGGACGGGUGAGUAACGCGUGGGUAACCUGCCUUACACAGGGGGAUAACACCUGGAAACAGGUGCUAAUACCGCAUAAGCGCACAGGGCUGCAUGGCCCGGUGUGAAAAACUCCGGUGGUGUAAGAUGGACCCGCGUCUGAUUAGCUUGUUGGCGGGGUAGGGGCCCACCAAGGCGACGAUCAGUAGCCGGCCUGAGAGGGUGGACGGCCACAUUGGGACUGAGACACGGCCCAAACUCCUACGGAAGGCAGCAG